This 449-nucleotide ribosomal RNA is filed under the name uncultured bacterium. RNAcentral describes it as "partial 16S ribosomal RNA". It matches the Rfam family "Bacterial small subunit ribosomal RNA", at positions 29 to 523 of the family's 1533-position model. The record is from RNAcentral.
AAUGAACGCUGGCGGCAGGCCUAACACAUGCAAGUCGAACGGAUCCUUCGGGAUUAGUGGCGGACGGGUGAGUAACGCGUGGGAACAUACCCAAAGGUACGGAAUAGCCUCGGGAAACUGGGAGUAAUACCGUAUGUGCUCGAAAGAGGAAAGAUUUAUCGCCUUUGGAUUGGCCCGCGUUGGGUUAGGUAGUUGGUGGGGUAAUGGCCUACCAAGCCGACGAUCCGUAGCUGGUUUGAGAGGAUGAUCAGCCACACUGGGACUGAGACACGGCCCAGACUCCUACGGGAGGCAGCAGUGGGGAAUCUUAGACAAUGGGGGAAACCCUGAUCUAGCCAUGCCGCGUGAUCGAUGAAGGCCUUAGGGUUGUAAAGAUCUUUCAGGUGGGAAGAUAAUGACUGUACCACCAGAAGAAGCCCCGGCUAACUCCGUGCCAGCCGCCGCAGUAA